GUCUGGGUGGCUUAGUCGGUUAAGCGUGUGACUCUUUAUCUCUGCUCAGCUCAUGAUCUCACAGUUCGUGGGUUCGAGCCCCUCUUUGGGCU
Molecule: transfer RNA, 92 nt
Filed under: Felis catus (domestic cat)
Lineage: Eukaryota; Metazoa; Chordata; Mammalia; Carnivora; Felidae
Also listed under: 2 other names
Rfam family: tRNA
About the family: Transfer RNA (tRNA) molecules are approximately 80 nucleotides in length. Their secondary structure includes four short double-helical elements and three loops (D, anti-codon, and T loops).
Source: Rfam by way of RNAcentral